GAAAGGAAAGGAAAGACAAUGUUGCUUUGUGCUGCCCACUGCCUCUCAUGCCCCUUAAGGUCUCUCAGGAGAUCUCCCUCAGGGCAAUACACUGUUCUGCUUUGAAACAUGGAACAGUCCUGGUUUAAGUGAAAUUUUAGAAUAUGAUAUUGUGUUUGCAGAGUGUUAGCAAUCAGAAAACAUCAAGAACUUGCAUGUAACUGAGAAACAUGCACCCAUGUAAUGGUAUUCCCUGAAAAAUGUCUGCGCUGGCUAAAGCAAACUUCUGGUUUGCAUAUCUUUCUGUUACCACAAUGUUUUCAAAACUCUCUAUUUAUAUUUUGCAUUGUUGUUUAUUGUUUCCACUAUUUAGUAACUGAAGGUCCUUACACUGAGAAGAAUGGCUCGCCUUUGAAGCUCAGAGGCACCUUUUCUUCUCCAGACAUCAGGAAUUGGCCUUUGAGAUUCCUUCAGCUACCUACGAUACCUGCAGAAAGCUGGAAUCCACCAGAAAAUCACAGAAUCUGCUGAUUUGGAAUUGAUUCACAAGGAUCUUUGAGUCCAGCUCUUAGCCCUGCACAGGACUACCCUAAGAGUCUCACCAUGUGCCUGAGAGUAUGUUCCAAACACUUCUUCAACUGUGUCAGGCUUGAACUCUAUGAUACAACUUAUGGGACACCUGUGUCCUUAGCAGGAGUUCAGCUGGGACACCCCAGGCUAUCUCUGAGUGGCACUGGAUGCUUACAGACCUGUGGGCAGCUAAUAUGACUUCUCCUUUCCACAGACUGUAAUGGCAGCUCAAACAACUAACUCAUACAGUUGCAGAAAGUUCACUCUGCAAUGCUGAGCCAGGUUUAAAUGAAAUCUCCAACCCUCUGAAGUCACUUCAAUUCACUAUAUACCAGCAAAAGAACCAGGAAAAAAAAUCAGCAGGUCUUGCUUGAACAAGGCUUUCAAGAUUUAGUCCCAAAUGCUUAGUUGUCUGGCUUUUUACAGCAGAAAGGUAUGUAAGAAAAGUCAUUCAUUUUUUCUGUCUUACCAGCUUGUACAAAUAGUUUUCUGUAAAAAGCUACAGUCACUUUUUUCAGAUUUAAUAAUGCCUGCUGAUAUGUAAAGUUAAAUGUAAUUUUAAGAAUUACACACAGAGCUAACACACAUAUUCUAUCAACAUUAUCUACCCUCCUAAAUAAUUUAAACCACACCAAGUUACCCUGGUCAUAUGUCCAUUACUUCUGAAAACAAAAUCUAGUCAUGAAAUUCCCCUUUCCAAAAUGUAACAGAGUAGACUGUGUUGCUAAAAUGUUUCAUUCUUUGGAGACUUUAUUUGCUAGUAACGCAUGCCAUUGCAUUGAGCACAAUCUACUCUGUCGUAAAAUUAAUGGCUUACUUUAUUCUUUCUUUCUGGCUGUAAAACUAAUGUCUUACUUUCUUCUGUUGGUGAAUGUUUGUUCACUGUCUCUGGAGAACAUCUUCAACCCUUGAUUAUCUUUGUUUUGAUCCAAGGAGCAACCUGGAGACUGUUUAGGCUUCCUUACAGGAGGAC
This is a long non-coding RNA of Passer domesticus (house sparrow), 1522 nucleotides long. RefSeq lists it as uncharacterized. The transcript has 2 exons. The record is from RefSeq and is a predicted model, not a curated record. Lineage: Eukaryota; Metazoa; Chordata; Aves; Passeriformes; Passeridae.